UAGUACCACACGCAUUAGAGGUACUGCCUGCCCAGUGACACCGAUUCAACGGCCACGGUACUUUGACCGUGCAAAGGUAGCAUAAUCACUUGUUUUUUAAAUAAAGACCUGUAUGAAAGGCAAGACGAAAGCUUAACUGUCUCCUUUGCCCAGUCUAUGAAACUGAUCUCCCUGUAAAAAAGCAGGGAUAAAACCGUAAGACGAGAAGACCCUAUGGAGCUUAAGAUAAAGACAACUCCACUACGCACAACCAGUAAGACCUUGCCUUAUUAUCUUCAGUUGGGGCGACUACGGAGCACACAAACCCUCCGCGAAUCACACGCUAAGAAACACAAGCCAACGCAGCAAAACAUUUUAAACAACUGAUCCAAUACUAUUGAUCAACGAACCAAGCUACCCUAGGGAUAACAGCGCAAUCUUCUUUCAGAGUCCUUAUCACCAAGAGGGUUUACGACCUCGAUGUUGGAUCAGGGUACCCAGACAAUGCAACCGUUGUCAUAGGUUUGUUUGUUCAACAAUUAAAACCCU
This 528-nucleotide ribosomal RNA is filed under the name Caecilia thompsoni. Its description in RNAcentral is "partial 16S ribosomal RNA". It matches the Rfam family "Bacterial large subunit ribosomal RNA", at positions 1832 to 2597 of the family's 2925-position model. The record is from RNAcentral. Lineage: Eukaryota; Metazoa; Chordata; Amphibia; Gymnophiona; Caeciliidae.